CCUACGGGUGGCAGCAGUGGGGAAUAUUGCGCAAUGGGCGAAAGCCUGACGCAGCGACGCCGCGUGAGGGAUGAAUGUCUUCGGAUCGGUAACCUCUGUCAGCAGGGAAGAACGGGCACUGUGCUAAUCAGCAGUGAAUUGACGGUACCUGCAAAGGAAGCACCGGCUAACUCCGUGCCAGCCGCCGCGGUAAUACGGAGGGUGCGAGCGUUAAUCGGAAUUACUGGGCGUAAAGCGCUCGUAGGCGGUAUGUCAAGUCAAGGGUGAAAUCCCCGCGCUCAACGUGGGAACUGCCUUUGAAACUGGCAAACUGGAGUGUGUGAGAGGAUAGUGGAAUUCCAGGUGUAGGAGUGAAAUCCGUAGAUAUCUGGAGGAACAUCAGUGGCGAAGGCGACUAUCUGGCACAUCACUGACGCUGAGGAGCGAAAGCGUGGGUAGCAAACAGGAUUAGAUACCCCUGUAGUC
This 465-nucleotide ribosomal RNA is filed under the name uncultured bacterium. RNAcentral's name for it is "partial 16S ribosomal RNA". It matches the Rfam family "Bacterial small subunit ribosomal RNA", at positions 338 to 795 of the family's 1533-position model. The record is from RNAcentral.